CUGGAGACAGUCAGAAACCUGAUGAUGCGCUAUUAAGGAAGAAUAAUUUAAAAUUAACUUUGGACAAAACGUUUGGCUCUCUCUUCCUUAAUCUUCCUGGUCCUCAGCGGGCGGCGUGCAGCGAG
Long non-coding RNA from Xiphophorus hellerii (green swordtail), 125 nucleotides. RefSeq lists it as uncharacterized. The record is from RefSeq and is a predicted model, not a curated record. Lineage: Eukaryota; Metazoa; Chordata; Actinopteri; Cyprinodontiformes; Poeciliidae. The transcript has 3 exons.